GACCGAACCGACUAAUGUUGAAAAAUUAGCGGAUGACUUGUGGCUGGGGGUGAAAGGCCAAUCAAACCGGGAGAUAGCUGGUUCUCCCCGAAAGCUAUUUAGGUAGCGCCUCGUGAAUUCAUCUCCGGGGGUAGAGCACUGUUUCGGCAAGGGGGUCAUCCCGACUUACCAACCCGAUGCAAACUACGAAUACCGGAGAAUGUUAUCACGGGAGACACACGGCGGGUGCUAACGUCCGUCGUGAAGAGGGAAACAACCCAGACCGCCAGCUAAGGUCCCAAAGUCAUGGUUAAGUGGGAAACGAUGUGGGAAGGCCCAGACAGCCAGGAUGUUGGCUUAGAAGCAGCCAUCAUUUAAAGAAAGCGUAAUAGCUCACUGGUCGAGUCGGCCUGCGCGGAAGAUGUAACGGGGCUAAACCAUGCAC
Molecule: ribosomal RNA, 424 nt
Filed under: Escherichia coli
Lineage: Bacteria; Pseudomonadati; Pseudomonadota; Gammaproteobacteria; Enterobacterales; Enterobacteriaceae
Also listed under: 1 other name
Description: partial 23S ribosomal RNA
Rfam family: Bacterial large subunit ribosomal RNA
Source: RNAcentral